Molecule: ribosomal RNA, 253 nt
Filed under: uncultured bacterium
Lineage: Bacteria
Description: partial 16S ribosomal RNA
Rfam family: Bacterial small subunit ribosomal RNA
Source: RNAcentral
UACGAAGGGGGCUAGCGUUGUUCGGAAUUACUGGGCGUAAAGGGCGUGUAGGCGGUACUUCAAGUCAGGCGUGAAAGCCCCGGGCUCAACCUGGGAACCGCGCUUGAGACUGGAGAACUAGAGUUCGGGAGAGGAUGGUGGAAUUCCCAGUGUAGAGGUGAAAUUCGUAGAUAUUGGGAAGAACACCGAUGGCGAAGGCAGCCAUCUGGACCGAAACUGACGCUGAGGCGCGAAAGCGUGGGGAGCAAACAGG